RNAcentral lists this long non-coding RNA (720 nucleotides) under Nicotiana benthamiana. RNAcentral's name for it is "long non-coding RNA (NBEN_LNC041515)". Lineage: Eukaryota; Viridiplantae; Streptophyta; Magnoliopsida; Solanales; Solanaceae. The record is from RNAcentral.
CGAGAAUCCAUAACAGAUCAAAUAUCCAAUUCUACCAUUUUAUACUUUUCUCUUUUUUCAUUUUGAAGUAAAUUUAAUACUGGAUUGAUGAUGUCAAGGAACCAAAACCUCUCUUUUGCUUUUAAAUACAAAUACUAUUAUGGCUGAACAAAAAAUUAAUAAAAUUAAGACCUAACCCAAAUCCAUAAACACUAUCCUCACCGCUUCAAUACCAUAUUGAGGUGUUUGUCUCAAUAAAGAUACAACCAUUUGCAAUCACAUUUUAUUUUAUAAACUAAUUAAUUCAAGUCUUCUCACAAAAAUGCAUCCAUGAAGAUUUAGCAUACGAGGGGGAAACCAGACCGAAAACCCGACGGAAAAACAUAAACUCGAACUUAAAAGUAAAAUCGCACUGGUGACCCUGAACAGAAAACCAAUCGGCGACCUCGAAUUUCGAUUUCGAUGUUGCUGUUUUCCGGUGAUUUAAGGUACUUGAUUUUUUUUUUGGGGCCAAAUUCGGACUGUUUUUCAAGUGAUUUCGGCAGCUAUUUGUUUUUGGAUUUAUGUUGCGUUUGAACUCCUAUUUCAGACCGACUUUAAGAGAAAGGGAUCAGUAGUGAUGUUAAGAGAUGAGGAGAUAUGGGUAAUGGCUGAAGCUUCUUCUUGAAGAAAAAGAGAAGAAUUGAUGUGAGAGGGUCUUUUUGGGUGCUGCCGCUGAUUUCCUUUUUUGGUUAGUAGAGC